This 497-nucleotide ribosomal RNA is filed under the name uncultured bacterium. Its description in RNAcentral is "partial 16S ribosomal RNA". It matches the Rfam family "Bacterial small subunit ribosomal RNA", at positions 28 to 507 of the family's 1533-position model. The record is from RNAcentral.
GAUGAACGCUGGCGGCGUGCCUAAUACAUGCAAGUCGAGCGAACAGACGAGGAGCCUGCUCCUCUGACGUUAGCGGCGGACGGGUGAGUAACACGUGGAUAACCUACCUAUAAGACUGGGAUAACUUCGGGAAACCGGAGCUAAUACCGGAUAAUAUAUUGAACCGCAUGGUUCAAUAGUGAAAGACGGUUUUGCUGUCACUUAUAGAUGGAUCCGCGCCGCAUUAGCUAGUUGGUAAGGUAACGGCUUACCAAGGCAACGAUGCGUAGCCGACCUGAGAGGGUGAUCGGCCACACGGGAACUGAGACACGCUCCAGACUCCUACGGGAGGCAGCAGUAGGGAAUCUUCCGCAAUGGGCGAAAGCCUGACGGAGCAACGCCGCGUGAGUGAUGAAGGUCUUCGGAUCGUAAAACUCUGUUAUUAGGGAAGAACAAAUGUGUAAGUAACUAUGCACGUCUUGACGGUACCUAAUCAGAAAGCCACGGCUAACUACGUG